This is a long non-coding RNA of Mobula hypostoma (lesser devil ray), 970 nucleotides long. RefSeq lists it as uncharacterized. The transcript is spliced from 3 exons. Lineage: Eukaryota; Metazoa; Chordata; Chondrichthyes; Myliobatiformes; Myliobatidae. The record is from RefSeq and is a predicted model, not a curated record.
GGCUUGAAAAUAGUGGAUGGAUCUCCAAUCAAGUUGUAGUUGUCUCAGCCAAUCACACGCCCAUAAUGCUGGUCCUCCUGUGUUACUGCAUAUAAGCUCCAUGUGGCUUGCUGAAUCGCCUGUCUGACCCCAAUCAGAUGAAGAUAAGUGCAAUAUCUCUGAGAAGCAAUAAAGUAGGCCACAUGAUAUUGAAUCAGAAAUUAAUGUCCUGAAAUGAGGGAUGACCAAAUUCAAUACAAGGCAGGACCUGGCAAGUGGACCAGGAGCAGCAUCUUGCAGCAUGUGAAUAUGGAACCAGUAGGAGCGAUUCAAAUGUGGAACCGUGAAGGUUCAAAGCCAGAUGUUCUGUUAAGGUGGAAGGUAAGUCCAACAGGUCCCAGGAAUGUUGGUUGUCAUGAGAGAUUGAGCUUUUUUUAAGUAAAUGGGAGGGUGAAGAGUGGCACAAAACAUAACUAGUGUGAAAGAAUAAGGAAAACCCCAAAACUGUUUAUGUAUGUUAAAGGUAUGUGGGUAUUUGUGGAAAAAUAUAGCCUUAUUAGAGACCAAAAUGGCAUUCUCUAUAUAAAGUGGGAUGAUGGAAUGAGAAAUCUUUAUUUAAGAUCUCAUGUUUAUUAAGCAGAAGGACAGAGAAAGACUUGAACAAAUGAUCAUUGAUGGAUGGUUUUUAAUGUUUAGCAGGCUUAAAGUGGAUAAAUUUCUAGGGCCUGAUGAGAUGUAUCUCAGGUUGCUUUGAGGUAAGGGAAGAGUUGGUGUGGCACUGACUAAUUUUUAGUUCUUCUCUGUCCGUGGAAGAACUGCCAGAUAUCUGGUGGCUAGUAGUUCUCAUUUCUUUGUCCAAUGUGAACAGCAUGGAUAAGCCAGUAGGUCCAAAAUCACUCGCAGGGAAAUUAUUGGGAAAUACUCUGAGCAACAGGAUUGGAUUUCACUUGGAGAAUUGGGAAUUAAAAGGUAGUUAGCAUAGCUUUGAUAA